Molecule: ribosomal RNA, 465 nt
Filed under: uncultured Klebsiella sp.
Lineage: Bacteria; Pseudomonadati; Pseudomonadota; Gammaproteobacteria; Enterobacterales; Enterobacteriaceae
Description: bacterial SSU rRNA
Rfam family: Bacterial small subunit ribosomal RNA
Source: RNAcentral
CCUACGGGCGGCAGCAGUGGGGAAUAUUGCACAAUGGGCGCAAGCCUGAUGCAGCCAUGCCGCGUGUGUGAAGAAGGCCUUCGGGUUGUAAAGCACUUUCAGCGGGGAGGAAGGCGGUGAGGUUAAUAACCUCAUCGAUUGACGUUACCCGCAGAAGAAGCACCGGCUAACUCCGUGCCAGCAGCCGCGGUAAUACGGAGGGUGCAAGCGUUAAUCGGAAUUACUGGGCGUAAAGCGCACGCAAGCGGUCUGUCAAGUCGGAUGUGAAAUCCCCGGGCUCAACCUGGGAACUGCAUUCGAAACUGGCAGGCUAGAGUCUUGUAGAGGGGGGUAGAAUUCCAGGUGUAGCGGUGAAAUGCGUAGAGAUCUGGAGGAAUACCGGUGGCGAAGGCGGCCCCCUGGACAAAGACUGACGCUCAGGUGCGAAAGCGUGGGGAGCAAACAGGAUUAGAUACCCCUGUAGUC